Molecule: ribosomal RNA, 401 nt
Filed under: uncultured bacterium
Lineage: Bacteria
Description: bacterial SSU rRNA
Rfam family: Bacterial small subunit ribosomal RNA
Source: RNAcentral
UGGGGAAUCUUGCACAAUGGGGGAAACCCUGAUGCAGCGACGCCGCGUGAACGAUGAAGCCCUUCGGGUUGUAAAGCUCUUUUGUGCGGGAAGAUAAUGACUGUACCGCAAGAAUAAGCCCCGGCUAACUUCGUGCCAGCAGCCGCGGUAAUACGAAGGGGGCUAGCGUUGCUCGGAAUCACUGGGCGUAAAGCGCACGUAGGCGGACUCUUAAGUCGGUGGUGAAAUCCUGGAGCUCAACUCCAGAACUGCCUUCGAUACUGGGAGUCUCGAGUUCGGGAGAGGUGAGUGGAACUGCGAGUGUAGAGGUGAAAUUCGUAGAUAUUCGCAAGAACACCAGUGGCGAAGGCGGCUCACUGGCCCGAUACUGACGCUGAGGUGCGAAAGCGUGGGGAGCAAAC